GGGAAAGUUGAAAAGAACUUUGAAGAGAGAGUUAAAAAGUACGUGAAACCUCUCGGGGGUAAGCGGGCAGAACUUGCAAGUAUUGACGGUAACAUUCAGGCUUGUUGUUGGCGGCUGAGGGUGUAAAUUAUGUUGUUCCUUCGGGGAUGGCUGUUGUGCGCCUUUUGUUCUGUUGACUACACGCCGCAUUUGUUGCUGUCUUCGGGUUGCAUGCGACUGAGGUUGGUAGUUUAGGUGCUGGGGUCCUGCAAAUCCUUGUGGUUUGAGCCCUGGUUUCCAACUACUCGUGCGGUCGUUGAAAGCGAGCAGGCGUUUAUCGCGGUCACCGGUUUUGACGAGUUGGGUGCAUGUGAUGUGUGGACGGGUAACCGUAGCAUGUUGUAUGUACUUGCUGUCAGUUAGAACUGUGUGGCACUGUUCAGUAUUG
This 427-nucleotide ribosomal RNA is filed under the name Heteromurus major L6. Its description in RNAcentral is "partial 28S ribosomal RNA". Lineage: Eukaryota; Metazoa; Arthropoda; Collembola; Entomobryomorpha; Entomobryidae. The record is from RNAcentral.